ACAAUGAUGAUGUCACUGAUUCUACUGCUGGCCACCCUGGGGCUCCUUGUUCAGGAUUCAUCAGGAGAAAUCAUCCUGACUCAGUCUCCUGGAUCUCAGUCUGUUGUUCCAGGACAGACUGUCUCUCUCAGAUGUAAAGCCAGUUCAAGUGUUAGCAAUGACUUGCAGUGGUACCUUCAGAAACCUGGAGAAGCUCCUAAACUCUUGAUUUAUCAUGCUACAAACCGUCAGUCUGGAGUUUCAGACCGUUUCAGUGGGAGUCAGUCUGGAACUGACUUCACUCUGACCAUCAGAGGAGUCCAGACUGAAGAUGAGGGGGGCGGGACGGACGCUAGUGACAGGAAACAACUGGGACACACACACACACACUGGCUCCAGAUGGUUCGGUGACCCCAGUGCUGGAAGGAAUGCGUUCGCUACGAGAAGAACUUGCAGAGAACUCUGAAGUGGACACUAAUAUGUUUGACUGGUCUGAUUCUGUAUUUGCUAAAUAAAAAGCCUUAGUGAUGCCCAUACUAGCAGGCCUAAUGAUUGCUGUAGCGCUGUUACCUCUCUGUGGAUGUUGCAUUAUUCCAUGUGCCAGAGGUUUGACUGUAAGAGCUAUUGAUAAAUGUGUGUCUAUUCAAAUGAUCACACUCCAUGAACAAGUGAACAUGCCAUUGUUGCAGCAGCAGGACUGUGAUGAAAGGAAGGACCCAGAUUCGUUUUCUUGGUUAAACUGGUGUAGAUUACAUCAUGAUGCCUUUCUAUGACCUGAUGAUCUUUUUGUAAUGCUGUAUAUUCUUGAGUGACCAAAGAAUGCUCACAAGGGAGGAGUAUGUGAUGGAAAUUUGAUAUUUGUGUUUACUGUUUCACCCUGCAUGCUCCAUCAGAAUAGACCAAUGUGUCACUGUGUGGUAUAUGCAACACUGACAUAAAAUCUUUGGUUUGAAAAUCUGAGAUAAGAACCAUCUCAUGUUGAAAGUACUUUAAAUUUCAUUUUUAAUCCUUGAAACUGUAUUGAGUAAUGUAGAUUUGUACAAACUACAUUUUAAAUGAAUUCAUGAAAACACCUGCUUUCAUUCUUUCAUUCACACCUUGUUUAUACCUGCAUUUAGAAAGUUCUCUUAAUGCAGCUAUAAAGAGAAACUUUACAGUGUCUCUGCUGAACAGAGACUUUGUAAGGUGAGACUCAAGGAGAAGAAGAAAUUACCUCAGAUAUAAUCCUGCACUGAUAAAAUGAAGGAAAAUGCAUCUUUGUUGGUAAAAAAUAAAACUAUCAUGACAUAUUA
Molecule: non-coding RNA, 1271 nt
Organism: Micropterus salmoides (largemouth bass)
Lineage: Eukaryota; Metazoa; Chordata; Actinopteri; Centrarchiformes; Centrarchidae
Source: the annotation of a RefSeq genome assembly